AUUCUGCCCAUACGGGGAGGGAUGAGAAGCUUCGUCCAAGGUGCGACUCGAACGCCAGCGAGAAAGCGUUGCCGCAGGCAACGACCCGAAGGGUGAAGCGCGCAGCGCUAGUAAUCCUUCCCCCACCACCA
Molecule: small RNA, 131 nt
Filed under: Escherichia coli
Lineage: Bacteria; Pseudomonadati; Pseudomonadota; Gammaproteobacteria; Enterobacterales; Enterobacteriaceae
Also listed under: 35 other names
Description: RtT sRNA
Rfam family: RtT RNA
About the family: This family represents a bacterial cis-regulatory element known as RtT RNA. The exact function of RtT is unknown although it is thought that it may be involved in changing the cellular response in relation to amino acid starvation.
Source: RNAcentral